This 229-nucleotide ribosomal RNA is filed under the name uncultured bacterium. RNAcentral's name for it is "partial 16S ribosomal RNA". It matches the Rfam family "Bacterial small subunit ribosomal RNA", at positions 568 to 796 of the family's 1533-position model. The record is from RNAcentral.
UGCGUAGGCGGUUUCUUAAGUCAGUGGUGAAAUCCUGCGGCUCAACCGUAGAACUGCCAUUGAAACUGAGGAACUUGAAUAUAGUUGAGGUAGGCGGAAUGAGUAGUGUAGCGGUGAAAUGCUUAGAUAUUACUCAGAACACCGAUUGCGAAGGCAGCUUACUAAACUAUUAUUGACGCUGAUGCACGAAAGCGUGGGGAGCGAACAGGAUUAGAUACCCUGGUAGUCC